This 126-nucleotide ribosomal RNA is filed under the name Triticum aestivum (bread wheat). RNAcentral's name for it is "partial small subunit ribosomal RNA". The record is from RNAcentral. Lineage: Eukaryota; Viridiplantae; Streptophyta; Magnoliopsida; Poales; Poaceae.
AUGGCCUGGAACUUAUGGAAGGAACGAAAUCGCCGUGUCUUCCAGGCCACUAGUACACAACCUCCAGUUUUGUUGCAAAUGGUUAAAGAUGAUGUCGGCCUCCUGGAGGAGGCCUUUUGGGAAUAA